RNAcentral lists this ribosomal RNA (497 nucleotides) under uncultured bacterium. RNAcentral's name for it is "partial 16S ribosomal RNA". It matches the Rfam family "Bacterial small subunit ribosomal RNA", at positions 28 to 507 of the family's 1533-position model. The record is from RNAcentral.
GAUGAACGCUGGCGGCGUGCCUAAUACAUGCAAGUCGAGCGAACGGACGAGAAGCUUGCUUCUCUGAUGUUAGCGGCGGACGGGUGAGUAACACGUGGAUAACCUACCUAUAAGACUGGGAUAACUUCGGGAAACCGUAGCUAAUACCGGAUAAUAUUUUGAACCGCAUGGUUCAAAAGUGAAAGACGGUCUUGCUGUCACUUAUAGAUGGAUCCGCGCUGCAUUAGCUAGUUGGUAAGGUAACGGCUUACCAAGGCAACGAUGCAUAGCCGACCUGAGAGGGUGGUCGGCCACACUGGAACUGAGACGCGGACCAGACUCCUACGGGAGGCAGCAGUAGGGAAUCUUCCGCAAUGGGCGAAAGCCUGACGGAGCAACGCCGCGUGAGUGAUGACGGUCUUCGGAUCGUAAAACUCUGUUAUUAGGGAAGAACAUAUGUGUAAGUAACUGUGCACAUCUUGACGGUACCUAAUCAGAAAGCCACGGCUAACUACGUG